GUGCCAGCAGCCGCGGUAAUACGUAGGGUCCGAGCGUUGUCCGGAAUUAUUGGGCGUAAAGGGCUCGUAGGCGGUUUGUUGCGUCGGGAGUGAAAACCAGGUGCUUAACACCUGGCCUGCUUUCGAUACGGGCAGACUAGAGGCAUUCAGGGGAGAACGGAAUUCCUGGUGUAGCGGUGAAAUGCGCAGAUAUCAGGAGGAACACCGGUGGCGAAGGCGGUUCUCUGGGAAUGUUCUGACGCUGAGGAGCGAAAGUGUGGGGAGCGAACAGGAUUAGAUACCCUGGUAGUCC
RNAcentral lists this ribosomal RNA (292 nucleotides) under uncultured bacterium. Its description in RNAcentral is "partial 16S ribosomal RNA". It matches the Rfam family "Bacterial small subunit ribosomal RNA", at positions 505 to 796 of the family's 1533-position model. The record is from RNAcentral.